RNAcentral lists this ribosomal RNA (519 nucleotides) under uncultured eukaryote. Its description in RNAcentral is "bacterial SSU rRNA". It matches the Rfam family "Eukaryotic small subunit ribosomal RNA", at positions 1161 to 1666 of the family's 1831-position model. The record is from RNAcentral.
AGGGCACCGCCAGUAGUGGAGCCUGCGGCUUAAUUUGACUCAACGCGGGGAAACUCACCCGGCCCGGACACCGGAAGGAUUGAAAAAUUGAGAGCUCUUUCUUGAUUCGGUGGGUGAAGGUGCAUGGCCGUUCUUAGUUGGUGGAGCGAUUUGUCUGGUUAAUUCCGAUAUCCAACGAGACUCUGGCCUACUAAUUAGACGUUUCAUCAUUUCUGGACCUUCGCUGCUUCUUAGAGGGACGGCCGGCGUUCAGGCAUACGAGAAUGAGCGAUAACAGGUCUGUGAUGCCCUUAGAUGUUCUGGGCUUGACUGGCGCUAAACUGAAAGAAGCAGCGGGUGUCCCCUGUGUGAAAGGACUGGCAAACCCCUGAAACGCUCCCUCACGAUGAGGACUCGGAUAGAGGAUCUACCCCACGAACGAUGAAUUCCAACUACGCGCGAAUCAUAGUCGAACUCAAUCACGCCCCAGCACUUUGAACACCUCGUGCGUACCAUAUACAGAUAGGCUUAUUUACGGAC